RNAcentral lists this ribosomal RNA (274 nucleotides) under uncultured bacterium. Its description in RNAcentral is "partial 16S ribosomal RNA". It matches the Rfam family "Bacterial small subunit ribosomal RNA", at positions 523 to 796 of the family's 1533-position model. The record is from RNAcentral.
AUACGGAGGGUCCAAGCGUUGUUCGGAAUCAUUGGGCGUAAAGCGGGCGUAGGCGGCUUGGCAAGUCAGAUGUGAAAUCCCAGGGCCCAACCCUGGAACUGCAUUUGAAACUGCCUCGCUAGAGUCGCGGAGAGGAUGGCGGAAUUCCCGGUGUAGGGGUGAAAUCCGUAGAUAUCGGGAGGAACACCAGUGGCGAAGGCGACUCUCUGGGCGAGAUCUGACACUGAGGCGCGAAAGCCAGGGGAGCGAACGGGAUUAGAAACCCGGGUAGUCC